UUGGGCUCCUUUCUAGCGGACGAGGUUGGCCGUGCGAUAGGUUACCUUAAUUACACUGUUUCCUCCUCCCUGGACGCAUUUCCCAAAUCUCAUUAUAGCGCAUGUGACACCCCGUGACCGGCCGGAGUGGGAGGUUAGCACAAAGUCCCAGCAGGACAGCCAGCUCCUGGCGCAGCCACAGGCCUCUGCCCACGUGGUCCUGCGGGAUGCCAGGCUCAGUUCGGACCCUCCCCCGUGGCCCGGCCUGUGGGGCGGCCGUCUCUGGGCCUGAGUUCGCUCCCACGGGGGGCCCUGGCCCCACCCUUCCGGUGAGCUGGCCCUCUUCCUCCUGCACUUUGACGCCUGUGGCCUUGCAGUCGGCAUCUAUUUUGAAGGUUCCCCUUGGAUCAUGUCCCACUUGAUUCCAUGUCCCGUUCCUCUGGACGAAUGUGCCGGCGCCUGCUGGGCGCUGCCAGGCUUGCGGACACUUGGCUGCUCUGCCGGGUGUGCUCUCUCUGCCCGGGUGAGAGCUGUCGUGUGUGAGCGCCGGGCUUGGGCAGCGCAUUUCUCUCUCCAUCCAGGGUUAUCGGGCCCGAGCCUCCCCGCCUGGCCUCAGGGGCUGGCGGCCCUGCAGAGGGUGCUGGCCUGGAGCAUCUGAGGGGCCUGGCGGGGGCGGCAGACCUGUUUCGCUCCUCAGAUCCAGAGGCCCUGUCAUACCUUAGAAGAGUUUUGAAGACCAGCCUCCAAGCCCAUUAAAAACCUUCCGUGACUAAAGUUUCAGUGUGAACACAGUCCUCCGACCCAGCUGGGUCUUGGCUCCAUCACUGGGGAGGGGACGUUGGUUUCCAGGGGAAAGUGUGAGUGGGAACCUGGGAAAAAAAUUCUGGAUGGAGGGCAAGUUCAAUGAAAAACCAAGCCUCAAACUGCAGCCUGAUGUCACUUUCCAAAGCCAGACGCAUGUUGAGGAUUAAGCCAGUUAUCUAGUAAUUCUGGAAAAACUGCCAAGAAGUUAUUCUGGAAUUAUCUGGACAACACAUAAGCUCAUCCACUUUAUCAUCCAGACCUGGCAGUUCCCCAACACAUUUUGUAGUAGGGGAACUGGCAAAUCCAAUGGUGCCAUUUGCUAGUGAAAUUGAUAACUCCUCUUAAUCAUGGUGAAAUUUGUUCUAUAUAGAAGCUGACAUCUAGAAACAUACUGGAAAAAAAAAAGGAGCUGGAACUCAAAAAAAAAAAAGAAACAUUGGAAUUUCAGUUCUUUGGACCCAUAAAGGGUCAUGGUAUAAAGCUUGAGAAAUAAAAUGAAAGUGAUUUCAUGAAUUUGUUUAUAGGAAAAAACAGUUAUCAGUGUGAAUGUUGUAAGAAACAAAAAUACUACGUGUUGAAAUCCAGCGGUGAGUAACUUUUGUUUUUCACUCAUUUACAUCGAUCUAAGCAGUGGUUAUGAAGGUCUUAUUUAUACAAAAAAGGAAACAUGGUUACUGUUCAUUAAUCAUGGUCCACUUAAGUACAUUUUUAUAUCCAUAUUUUAUUGCUUUGUAAUAAUUUGUAAUAAAUUAAUAAACUUAGCAUGGAAA
This is a non-coding RNA of Vicugna pacos (alpaca), 1553 nucleotides long. NCBI's taxonomy places the organism in Eukaryota, Metazoa, Chordata, Mammalia, Artiodactyla, Camelidae. The record is from RefSeq and is a predicted model, not a curated record.